This 2479-nucleotide ribosomal RNA is filed under the name Parabacteroides distasonis str. 3776 D15 iv. RNAcentral's name for it is "bacterial LSU rRNA". It matches the Rfam family "Bacterial large subunit ribosomal RNA", at positions 412 to 2925 of the family's 2925-position model. Lineage: Bacteria; Pseudomonadati; Bacteroidota; Bacteroidia; Bacteroidales; Tannerellaceae. The record is from RNAcentral.
GUAGCGCGGGGCACGAGAAAUCUUGCGUGAAACAGCGGGGCCCAUCCCGUAAGGCUAAAUACUCCCGAGAGACCGAUAGCGAACCAGUACCGUGAGGGAAAGGUGAAAAGAACCCCGAGCAGGGGAGUGAAAUAGACCCUGAACCCGUCUGCCUACAAGCGGUCGGAGCAUAGCAAUAUGUGACGGCGUGCCUUUUGCAUAAUGAACCUACGAGUUACCUUCCCCGGCAAGGUUAAGUACCUAAGGUACGGAGCCGAAGCGAAAGCGAGUCUGAAGAGGGCGGCCAGUCGGGGGGGGUAGACGCGAAACCGAGUGAUCUACCCUUGGCCAGGUUGAAGGUUGGGUAACACCAACUGGAGGACCGGAUGGGUAAGCGUUGAAAAGCUUUCCAAUGAGCUGAGGGUAGGGGUGAAAGGCUAAUCAAACUCGGAGAUAGCUCGUACUCCCCGAAAUGCAUUUAGGUGCAGCCUCUUUAUAGUAUAUCGUGAGGUAGAGCGACUGAUUGGAUGCGAGGGCUUCACCGCCUAUCAAGUCCAGAUAAACUCCGAAUGCGCGAUAUAUAUUUAAAGGGAGUGAGGGCGCGGGUGCUAAGGUCCGUGUCCGAGAGGAGAAGAAUCCAGACCACCGGCUAAGGCCCCCAAAUGAUCGUUGAGUUGAACUAACGAGGUCGGAUCGCAGAGACAGCUAGGAUGUUGGCUUGGAAGCAGCCAUUCAUUUAAAGAGUGCGUAACAGCUCACUAGUCGAGCGAUCUGGCGUGGAUAAUAAUCGGGCAUAAACGAUCUGCCGAAGCCGUGGAUGUCGUAAGACAUGGUAGGGGAGCAUUCCAUGCGGCGUCGAAGAUGAGGGAUGACCCUUGUUGGAGCGCAUGGAAAAGCAAAUGUAGGUAUGAGUAACGAUAAGGGGGGCGAGAAACCCCCCCGCCGAAAGACCAAGGUUUCCUGAUCAACGCUAAUCGGAUCAGGGUGAGUCGGGACCUAAGGCAAAGCCGAACGGCGACGCCGAUGGAAGAAUGGGUUAAUAUUCCCAUACUGCCUCAUGGAGUGACGUGGAGACGGAGAAGUGACAGUCCUGCCGGCUGACGGAAUAGCCGGUUGAAGGGUGUAGAUAUUGAUUCCCGUAGGCAAAUCCGCGGGGAGAGUCGAACCUGACAGUAUACCGAGUACUUGUACGAGGUAAUAUGGACGUAACCAUGCUCCCAAGAAAAUCCGCUAAACUUAUCCAUGCGGCACCCGUACCGUAAACGGACACACGUGGUCGGGUUGAGAAUACUGAGGCGCUCGAGUGAUUCACGGUUAAGGAACUAGGCAAAUUGACCCUGUAACUUCGGGAUAAAGGGUCCUCGUCGUAAGGCGAGGCGCAGAGAAUAGGUCCAGGCAACUGUUUAACAAAAACACAUGGCUAUGCUAAAUGGAAACAUGACGUAUAUAGCCUGACACCUGCCCGGUGCUGGAAGGUUAAGAGGAGAUGUCAUCGCAAGAGAAGCGUUGAAUUGAAGCCCCAGUAAACGGCGGCCGUAACUAUAACGGUCCUAAGGUAGCGAAAUUCCUUGUCGGGUAAGUUCCGACCUGCACGAAUGGUGUAAUGAUCUGGACACUGUCUCAACCGUGAGCUCGGUGAAAUUGUAGUAUCGGUGAAGAUGCCGAUUACCCGCGAUGGGACGAAAAGACCCCGUGAACCUUUACUAUAGCUUUACAUUGAAUUUGGGCAGACGAUGUGUAGGAUAGGCCGGAGGCUUUGAAGGGGGUACGCCAGUAUCCUUGGAGCCGCCGUUGAAAUACGGCCCUUCGGUUGUUUGAGUUCUAACUCCUAGGCAGGAGGACACUGUAUGGUGGGUAGUUUGACUGGGGUGGUCGCCUCCAAAAGCGUAACGGAGGCUUCUAAAGGUGCCCUCAGACCGAUUGGUAACCGGUCGCAGAGUGUAAUGGCAUAAGGGCGCUUGACUGGGAGAGAUACAACUCGAUCAGGUAGGAAACUAGAGCAUAGUGAUCCGGUGGUUCCGCAUGGAAGGGCCAUCGCUCAAAGGAUAAAAGGUACUCCGGGGAUAACAGGCUGAUCAUUCCCAAGAGCUCAUAUCGACGGAAUGGUUUGGCACCUCGAUGUCGGCUCGUCACAUCCUGGGGCUGGAGAAGGUCCCAAGGGUUGGGCUGUUCGCCCAUUAAAGUGGCACGCGAGCUGGGUUCAGAACGUCGUGAGACAGUUCGGUCUCUAUCUAUCGUGGGCGCAGGAGAUUUGAGGGGCUCUGACACUAGUACGAGAGGACCGUGUUGGACGUACCACUGGUUUACCGGUUGUCCCGCCAGGGGCACCGCCGGGUAUCUAAGUACGGAUCGGAUAAGUGCUGAAAGCAUCUAAGUACGAAGCCGGCCUCAAGAUUAGAUCUCCCUGAAGGGUGGUUAUAGACGAUGACCUUGAUAGGCCACAGGUGUAAGGGCGGCGACGUCCGAGCCGAGUGGUACUAAUAGCCCGGGACUUUCCUCA